GCAUAUCAAUAAGCGGAGGAAAAGAAAAUAACAAUGAUUCCCCUAGUAACUGCGAGUGAAGAGGGACAAGCUCAAAUUUUAAAUCCAUCGGGUUUUACCUGAUCGAGUUGUAAUUUGAAGAAGCGUUUUCUGCGUAUUUGAUCAGCCUAAGUCCUAUUGAAUGAGGCAUCACGGAGGGUGAUAAUCCCGUCCGGUUGAUCAUUUGCGUUUUACGAUACGCUUUCUAAGAGUCAAGUUGUUUGGGAUUGCAGCUUAAAAUGGGAGGUAAAUUCCUCCUAAGGCUAAAUAACGGCGAGAGACCGAUAGCGAACAAGUACCGUGAGGGAAAGAUGAAAAGAACUUUGAAAAGAGAGUUAAAUAGUACGUGAAAUUGUUGAAAGGGAAACGAUUGAAGCCAGUCGUACCUUCGGGUAAUCAGCCUUUCGGGUGCGAUUCUGUGGAGUGUGAGGAGCUUAAACACCUUCAUGUUUUGCAUAUUCGUACUCUUGGGUGUACUUGCCCGUGUGGUUGGUUAACAUCAAUUUUGGUGGUCAUAAAAUGACUGGGGGAAUGUAGCUUCGAUCUUGUAUUGAAGUGUUAUAGCCUUCGGUAGAUGUGAUGAUCGAGAUUGAGGAUUGCAACGGAUACCCUUCGGGGCUACCUGUCUGGUCUCUGAUCGUUGCUCUGGUGCCGAAAGCUUGCUUACGGUUAUCAAAGUCGAUGGUCAAUAGGUUAGAACGGGUUAAAUUCGUUAAGGAUGUUGACGUAAUGGCUUUAAACGAC
This 762-nucleotide ribosomal RNA is filed under the name Rhizophagus intraradices. Its description in RNAcentral is "LSU rRNA". It matches the Rfam family "Eukaryotic large subunit ribosomal RNA", at positions 38 to 648 of the family's 3401-position model. Lineage: Eukaryota; Fungi; Glomeromycota; Glomeromycetes; Glomerales; Glomeraceae. The record is from RNAcentral.